Molecule: ribosomal RNA, 540 nt
Filed under: uncultured bacterium
Lineage: Bacteria
Description: bacterial LSU rRNA
Rfam family: Bacterial large subunit ribosomal RNA
Source: RNAcentral
AAACAUCUCAGUACCCACAGGAAGAGAAACAACAGUGAUCCGUGAGUAGUGGCGAGCGAAAGCGGAAGAGGCUAAACCAUAGCUGCGUGAUAGUCGCCAGACGUUGCAGCCAUGGGGUCGUGGGACCGCUCAUUGAGCUCUGGCGGGCUCAGAGGGAGUAAGAAAUCCAUGUCAUAGACGAAGGCCAUGCGAAAGGGCCGGCACAGAAGGUAACACCCCUGUAGUCGAAAUGUCAUGGACUCCCGAGCGGGAUCCCAAGUAGUACGGGGCCCGAGAAAUCUCGUACGAAUCUGGCGGGACCACCCGCUAAGCCUAAAUAUUCCCUGGUGACCGAUAGCGGACAAGUACCGUGAGGGAAAGGUGAAAAGUACCCCGGGAGGGGAGUGAAAUAGUACCUGAAACCGUGUGCUUACAAGCCGUGGGAGCGUCUUGGCCUUCGGGCCUCCGUGACCGCGUGCCUUUUGAAGAAUGAGCCUGCGAGUUAGUGGUGUGUGGCAAGGUUAACCCGUGAGGGGCAGCCGUAGCGAAAGCGAGUCCGAC